RNAcentral lists this ribosomal RNA (465 nucleotides) under uncultured bacterium. RNAcentral describes it as "partial 16S ribosomal RNA". It matches the Rfam family "Bacterial small subunit ribosomal RNA", at positions 28 to 507 of the family's 1533-position model. The record is from RNAcentral.
GACGAACGCUGGCGGCGUGCUUAACACAUGCAAGUCGAACGGAAAGGCCCUGCUUGCAGGGUACUCGAGUGGCGAACUGGUGAGUAACACGUGGGUGCUCUGCCCUGUACUUCUGGAUAAGCCUGGGCGACUGGGUCUAUUACCUGAUAGGAGCCACUUUUAGCGUGAUGGUUGGAAAGUUUUUUCGGUGUAGGAUGAGCUCGCGGCCUAUCAGCUUGUUGGUGGGGUAAUGGCCUACCAAGGCGGCGACGGGUAGCCGGCCUGUGAGUGUGGACGGCCACAUUGGGACUGAGAUACGGCCCAGACGCCGACGGGAGGAAGAAGUGGGGAAGAUUGCACAAUGGGCGCAAGCCUGAUGCAGCGAGGACGCGUGGGGGAUGACGGCCUUCGGGUUGUAAAAUAGUUUCGCGAGGGACGAAGCUUUUUGUGACGGUACCUAGAUAAGAAGCACCGGCUAACUACGUG